AUGCAACGCGAAGAACCUUACCUGGUCUUGACAUCCCGGAGACCCUUAGGAAACUAGGGGUGCUUCCAUCUGGAAGAAUCUGGAGGACAGGUGCUGCAUGGCUGUCGUCAGCUCGUGUCGUGAGAUGUUGGGUUAAGUCCCGCAACGAGCGCAACCCUUGCCUUUAGUUGCCAGCAGUUCGGCUGGGCACUCUAAAGGGACUGCCGGUGUUAAACCGGAGGAAGGUGGGGAUGACGUCAAGUCCUCAUGGCCUUUAUGACCAGGGCUACACACGUACUACAAUGGCCGAUACAAAGGGCAGCGACACUGCGAGGUGAAGCCAAUCCCGUAAAAUCGGUCUCAGUCCGGAUUGGAGUCUGCAACUCGACUCCAUGAAGUUGGAAUCGCUAGUAAUCGUGGAUCAGAAUGUCACGGUGAAUACGUUCCCGGGCCUU
This 434-nucleotide ribosomal RNA is filed under the name uncultured Desulfobulbus sp. RNAcentral describes it as "bacterial SSU rRNA". It matches the Rfam family "Bacterial small subunit ribosomal RNA", at positions 954 to 1382 of the family's 1533-position model. The record is from RNAcentral. Lineage: Bacteria; Pseudomonadati; Thermodesulfobacteriota; Desulfobulbia; Desulfobulbales; Desulfobulbaceae.